RNAcentral lists this ribosomal RNA (468 nucleotides) under uncultured bacterium. RNAcentral describes it as "partial 16S ribosomal RNA". It matches the Rfam family "Bacterial small subunit ribosomal RNA", at positions 28 to 507 of the family's 1533-position model. The record is from RNAcentral.
GACGAACGCUGGCGGCGUGCUUAACACAUGCAAGUCGAACGGAAAGGCCCUGCUUUUGUGGGGUGCUCGAGUGGCGAACGGGUGAGUAACACGUGAGUAACCUGCCCUUGACUUUGGGAUAACUUCAGGAAACUGGGGCUAAUACCGGAUAGGAGCUCCUGCUGCAUGGUGGGGGUUGGAAAGUUUCGGCGGUUGGGGAUGGACUCGCGGCUUAUCAGCUUGUUGGUGGGGUAGUGGCUUACCAAGGCUUUGACGGGUAGCCGGCCUGAGAGGGUGACCAGCCACAUUGGGACUGAGAUACGGCCCAGACUCCUACGGGAGGCAGCAAUGGGGAAUAUUGCACAAUGGGCGGAAGCCUGAUGCAGCAACGCCGCGUGCGGGAUGACGGCCUUCGGGUUGUAAACCGCUUUCGCCUGUGACGAAGCGUGAGUGACGGUAAUGGGUAAAGAAGCACCGGCUAACUACGUG